GCCUCGGCGGUGUAGUGGUUCAGCACGCUUUCCCGGAGAGAGAAACUCGAGUUCGAUUCUCGCCUAAGGCU
This is a non-coding RNA of Parelaphostrongylus tenuis, 71 nucleotides long. The record is from the annotation of a GenBank genome assembly. NCBI's taxonomy places the organism in Eukaryota, Metazoa, Nematoda, Chromadorea, Rhabditida, Metastrongylidae.